This 21-nucleotide microRNA is filed under the name Drosophila sechellia. RNAcentral describes it as "dse-miR-2498b-3p". The record is from miRBase by way of RNAcentral. Lineage: Eukaryota; Metazoa; Arthropoda; Insecta; Diptera; Drosophilidae.
CUUGGCACAACCGCUUUUUAU